This 432-nucleotide ribosomal RNA is filed under the name uncultured bacterium. Its description in RNAcentral is "bacterial SSU rRNA". It matches the Rfam family "Bacterial small subunit ribosomal RNA", at positions 855 to 1290 of the family's 1533-position model. The record is from RNAcentral.
ACACAAUAAGUAAUCCACCUGGGGAGUACGACCGCAAGGUUGAAACUCAAAGGAAUUGACGGGGGCCCGCACAAGCAGUGGAGUAUGUGGUUUAAUUCGAAGCAACGCGAAGAACCUUACCAGGUCUUGACAUCCAACUAACGAAGCAGAGAUGCAUCAGGUGCCCUUCGGGGAAAGUUGAGACAGGUGGUGCAUGGUUGUCGUCAGCUCGUGUCGUGAGAUGUUGGGUUAAGUCCCGCAACGAGCGCAACCCUUAUCAUUAGUUGCUACGCAAGAGCACUCUAGUGAGACUGCCGUUGACAAAACGGAGGAAGGUGGGGAUGACGUCAAAUCAUCAUGCCCCUUAUGACCUGGGCUACACACGUACUACAAUGGCGAUUAACAGAGGGAAGCAAGACAGUGAUGUGGAGCAAAACCCCAAAAAUCGUCUCA